This 484-nucleotide ribosomal RNA is filed under the name uncultured bacterium. Its description in RNAcentral is "partial 16S ribosomal RNA". It matches the Rfam family "Bacterial small subunit ribosomal RNA", at positions 28 to 523 of the family's 1533-position model. The record is from RNAcentral.
GACGAACGCUGGCGGCGUGCUUAACACAUGCAAGUCGAACGAUGAAGCCGGAGCUUGCUCUGGUGAAUUAGUGGCGAACGGGUGAGUAACACGUGAGUAACCUGCCCUUGACUCUGGGAUAACUGCGGGAAACUGUAGCUAAUACCGGAUACGACCCUCGGAGGCAUCUCCUGGGGGUGGAAAGAAUUUCGGUCAAGGAUGGACUCGCGGCCUAUCAGCUAGUUGGUGAGGUAAAGGCUCACCAAGGCGACGACGGGUAGCCGGCCUGAGAGGGUGACCGGCCACACUGGGACUGAGACACGGCCCAGACUCCUGCGGGAGGCAGCAGUGGGGAAUAUUGCGCAAGGGGCGCAAGCCUGAUGCAGCAACGCCGCGUGAGGGAUGACGGCCUUCGGGUUGUAAACCUCUUUUAGCAGGGAAGAAGCGAAAGUGACGGUACCUGCAGAAAAAGCACCGGCUAACUACGUGCCAGCCGCCGCCGUAA